GCCAACACCGCGCCAGCAGCGGCGGUAAGACGGGGGGGGCAAGCGUGACUCGGAAUCACUGGGCGUAAAGAGCGUGUAUGCGGGUAUAUAAGUCAGAAGUGAAAUCCAAUAGCUCAACUAAUGAACUGCUUUUGAAACUGUAUACCUAGAAUGUGGGAGAGGUAGAUGGAAUUUCUGGUGUAGGGGUAAAAUCCGUAGAGAUCAGAAGGAAUACCGAUUGCGAAGGCGAUCUACUGGAACAUUAUUGACGCUGAGACGCGAAAGCGUGGGGAGCAAACAGGAUUAGAUACCCCGGUAGUC
RNAcentral lists this ribosomal RNA (300 nucleotides) under uncultured Acholeplasma sp. Its description in RNAcentral is "bacterial SSU rRNA". It matches the Rfam family "Bacterial small subunit ribosomal RNA", at positions 496 to 795 of the family's 1533-position model. Lineage: Bacteria; Bacillati; Mycoplasmatota; Mollicutes; Acholeplasmatales; Acholeplasmataceae. The record is from RNAcentral.